This 150-nucleotide ribosomal RNA is filed under the name Urogonimus certhiae. Its description in RNAcentral is "partial 18S ribosomal RNA". It matches the Rfam family "Eukaryotic small subunit ribosomal RNA", at positions 1616 to 1759 of the family's 1831-position model. The record is from RNAcentral. Lineage: Eukaryota; Metazoa; Platyhelminthes; Trematoda; Diplostomida; Leucochloridiidae.
GGUAAGUGCAAGUCAUAAGCUUGCGCUGAUUACGUCCCUGCCCUUUGUACACACCGCCCGUCGCUACUACCGAUUGAAUGGUUUAGCAAGGUCCUCGGAUUGGUACCGUUGUAGUGGCUUUUGUCACUCGACCGUUGCCGAGAAGACGAC